This is a non-coding RNA of Arachis ipaensis, 355 nucleotides long. The record is from RefSeq and is a predicted model, not a curated record. Lineage: Eukaryota; Viridiplantae; Streptophyta; Magnoliopsida; Fabales; Fabaceae.
CGAAUUGAUGCAUUUGUCAACGUUGACAGUGGAGAGGUUUUGAUUAUAAAGAUGAAUACAGUGCCUGGAAUGACUCCUUCUACUGUUCUGAUUCAUCAGGCACUAGCAGAACAACCACCAUUAUAUCCUCACCAAUUCUUCCGUAAACUUCUUGAUUUGGCUUCAGAAAGAUCCACGUGAUCUCUUGUUUUAUUAUUGUUUCCAAAGGUGAUCACAUUGAAGUUAUCAUGUAUCACUUUUAUGAAAGUUGUUGCCCUUUAUAAUGUAAUGCUUAACUUUGGAUCAUUUACUUGCUUCCCUUUCUGAAUGUGUUCUCAAAUGCAAUCAUUGAUUAUAUAGUUUGUGUACUCUUAAA